UGGGGGAAUAUUGCACAAUGGGCGAAAGCCUGAUGCAGCGACGCCGCGUGAGCGAAGAAGUAUCUCGGUAUGUAAAGCUCUAUCAGCAGGGAAGAAAAUGACGGUACCUGACUAAGAAGCCCCGGCUAACUACGUGCCAGCAGCCGCGGUAAUACGUAGGGGGCAAGCGUUAUCCGGAUUUACUGGGUGUAAAGGGAGCGUAGACGGAGAGGCAAGUCUGAUGUGAAAGCCCGGGGCUCAACCCCGGGACUGCAUUGGAAACUGUACUGCUAGAGUGCAGGAGAGGUAAGCGGAAUUCCUAGUGUAGCGGUGAAAUGCGUAGAUAUUAGGAGGAACACCAGUGGCGAAGGCGGCUUACUGGACUGUAACUGACGUUGAGGCUCGAAAGCGUGGGGAGCAAACAGGAUUAGAUACCCUGGUAGU
This 423-nucleotide ribosomal RNA is filed under the name uncultured Ruminococcus sp. RNAcentral describes it as "bacterial SSU rRNA". It matches the Rfam family "Bacterial small subunit ribosomal RNA", at positions 354 to 794 of the family's 1533-position model. The record is from RNAcentral. Lineage: Bacteria; Bacillati; Bacillota; Clostridia; Eubacteriales; Oscillospiraceae.